UAGGGAAUCUUCGGCAAUGGACGAAAGUCUGACCGAGCAACGCCGCGUGAGUGAAGAAGGUUUUCGGUUCGUAAAACUCUGUUGUCAGAGAAGAACAAGGACGUUAGUAACUGAACGUCCCCUGACGGUAUCUAACCAGAAAGCCACGGCUAACUACGUGCCUGCAGCCGCGGUAAUACGUAGGUGGCAAGCGUUGUCCGGAUUUAUUGGGCGUAAAGCGAGCGCGGGCGGUUUCUUAAGUCUGGUGUGAAAGCCCCCGGCUCAACCGGGGAGGGUCAUUGGAAACUGGGAGACUUGAGGGCAGAAGAGGAGGGUGGAAUUCGAUGUGUGGCGGUGAAAUGCGUAGAUAUAUGGAGGAACACCAGUGGCGAAGGCGGCUCUCUGGUCUGUAACUGACACUGAGGCUCGAAAGCGUGGGGAGCAAACAGG
Molecule: ribosomal RNA, 429 nt
Filed under: Gemmatimonadota bacterium
Lineage: Bacteria; Pseudomonadati; Gemmatimonadota
Description: Gemmatimonadetes bacterium partial 16S ribosomal RNA
Rfam family: Bacterial small subunit ribosomal RNA
Source: RNAcentral